UACGGAGGGGGUUAGCGUUGUUCGGAAUGACUGGGCGUAAAGCGCGCGUAGGCGGAUCAGGAAGUUGGGGGUGAAAUCCCGGGGCUCAACCCCGGAAUGGCCUUCAAAACUCCUGGUCUUGAGUUCGAGAGAGGUGAGUGGAAUUCCGAGUGUAGAGGUGAAAUUCGUAGAUAUUCGGAGGAACACCAGUGGCGAAGGCGGCUCACUGGCUCGACACUGACGCUGAAGUGCGAAAGCGUGGGGAGCAAACAGG
Molecule: ribosomal RNA, 253 nt
Filed under: uncultured bacterium
Lineage: Bacteria
Description: partial 16S ribosomal RNA
Rfam family: Bacterial small subunit ribosomal RNA
Source: RNAcentral